This 72-nucleotide transfer RNA is filed under the name Ovis aries (sheep). It matches the Rfam family "tRNA". Rfam says of the family: Transfer RNA (tRNA) molecules are approximately 80 nucleotides in length. Their secondary structure includes four short double-helical elements and three loops (D, anti-codon, and T loops). Further hydrogen bonds mediate the characteristic L-shaped molecular structure. tRNAs have two regions of fundamental functional importance: the anti-codon, which is responsible for specific mRNA codon recognition, and the 3' end, to which the tRNAs corresponding amino acid is attached (by aminoacyl-tRNA synthetases). tRNAs cope with the degeneracy of the genetic code in two manners: having more than one tRNA (with a specific anti-codon) for a particular amino acid; and 'wobble' base-pairing, i.e. permitting non-standard base-pairing at the 3rd anti-codon position. Lineage: Eukaryota; Metazoa; Chordata; Mammalia; Artiodactyla; Bovidae. The record is from Rfam by way of RNAcentral.
UCCCUGGUGAUCCAGUGGGUAAGACUCCAUGCUUUCACUGUGGGAGCAUGGGUUUGAUCCCUGUUCAGGGAA